UAGUACAGAUGCAAUAUAAAUUUUCUCAUCUUACAAAUAUGAUUAAUAGCAAUAACCCUGAAGGAAACGUAAAAAUAUUAUCGUUAGUAUUAAGAAUCAAUUAAAACUCACGUUGAACAGUAUCGCUUUUAUUUUUAUUUAUCCUCAUUGUGUAUCGCGUCUAUGAAGACUCUGUUCGUAUGAGAUACGUCUUCGUUAAAAACUCGGUUCUGCUCACUAGACUUCAGUUCUUCGUUAUUCACGCGUAGAAAAGGAUAUCUCAAACUUUUAUAUAACGUUCGUGUAAGGAGAGAUUCGCGCAGACACAAUGGAAAACCCGCCAUAUACUAUUUCGUAGCUGCAGCUCGAGAGUCAACGGUGCACUGAGCCGCCAGGCAAAAAGGGAGAAUCGAAAACGCUUGCAGCGACCAAGAACGGAACAACUCAUGGGUGCCGCACAAGGAGGCCGGCGGCCGGUUACGAACAGAGAACAAGGAGAACGGAGGAAAACUUGUUUGCUCGUGUCAGAUCCUGUAGUGAAUCGCUCAAAGCAAUGUUAAAAAUAUAGCAUGUAAAGUUCGACGUAAAAACGAAUCAAUAUCCUACUCUCUCUUUUUUAAAUACCAAUUUAAUAUAUUUUGCAACCGGUGAAAUGAAAAUUUAUAGAUGAAACAAAAAAUGUUAAUUAGCAUGAAAUAUUCAUGCGAAUAUUUAGAGCAAUGUUGGAUCAAGUGAUUGAAAGUUUAACGAAGCAGAGAAAGGACCGCUCGGGAAGGGGAUCAAAAAUUUGUUAUGCAAAUGAAGAAAGACUAUAGGUGACGUGUGUUGUGCUCGAUUGCCAACAUGGUUAUUUUCUGGCCACGUAUACCGAAGACUUGUCAACAGUGUUCAGAUAAGACAAUCGAAUCAACCAUUCGAAAUUCCCUACUACUAUUGUUAUAAUGAUCGAACACCUGAAUUACCGAUGCGUAUAACGUCCACCUGUACUCUUACAUGGAGAUGCAGUUUUUUUCCUAAAUAACAUUACAUCUGACUAAACAUUGUAAAAGCUGUUACAUUAUAUAACGAAAUUUGCUCACUUUUACUAACACCGCGUAUUCUUAUGUAAGAAUAUCG
This 1095-nucleotide unclassified non-coding RNA is filed under the name Bombus terrestris (buff-tailed bumblebee). RNAcentral describes it as "misc RNA ENSBTSG00005033368.1". The record is from RNAcentral. Lineage: Eukaryota; Metazoa; Arthropoda; Insecta; Hymenoptera; Apidae.